RNAcentral lists this ribosomal RNA (782 nucleotides) under Kinnaridae gen. sp. PCC-2008. Its description in RNAcentral is "SSU rRNA". It matches the Rfam family "Eukaryotic small subunit ribosomal RNA", at positions 1022 to 1809 of the family's 1831-position model. The record is from RNAcentral. Lineage: Eukaryota; Metazoa; Arthropoda; Insecta; Hemiptera; Kinnaridae.
AGUUCUAACCAUAAACUAUGCCUGCCAGCGAUCCGCCGACGUUCCUCCGAUGACUCGGCGGGCAGCUUCCGGGAAACCAGAGCUUUUGGGUUCCGGGGGAAGUAUGGUUGCAAAGCUGAAACUUAAAGGAAUUGACGGAAGGGCACCACCAGGAGUGGAGCCUGCGGCUUAAUUUGACUCAACACGGGAAAACUCACCAGGCCCGGACACCGCUAGGAUUGACAGAUUGAGAGCUCUUUCUUGAUUCGGUGGGUGGUGGUGCAUGGCCGUUCUUAGUUGGUGGAGCGAUUUGUCUGGUUAAUUCCGAUAACGAACGAGACUCUAGCCUACUAACUAGGCGUUUCCGGUAUCCACAAUCGUGCUACCGGCGAUCAUGAUUCUUCUUAGAGGGACAGGCGGCUUCUAGCCGCACGAGACUGAGCAAUAACAGGUCUGUGAUGCCCUUAGAUGUCCUGGGCCGCACGCGCGCUACACUGAAGGAAUCAGCGUGUCUUCCCUGUCCGAAAGGACCGGGUAACCCGCUGAACCUCCUUUGUGCUAGGGAUUGGGGCUUGCAAUUGUUCCCCAUGAACGAGGAAUUCCCAGUAAGCGCGAGUCAUAAGCUCGCGUUGAUUACGUCCCUGCCCUUUGUACACACCGCCCGUCGCUACUACCGAUUGAAUGAUUUAGUGAGGUCUUCGGACCGGUGCGCGGAGGCCGCUUCGCGGUCUCCGUAGUUGCUGGAAAGAUGACCAAACUUGAUCAUUUAGAGGAAGUAAAAGUCGUAACAAGGUUUCCGUAGU